UCUCCGUAGGUGAACCUGCGGAGGGAUCAUUACUGAGUGAGGGCUCACGCCCGACCUCCAACCCCAUGUGAACCGCAACUGUUGCUUCGGGGGCGACCCGGCCCUCUGGGCGUCGGGGCCCCCGGUGGCUCACACCUCAACUCUUGCAUCUGUGCGUCUGAGUAACAUAUUGAAUCAAUCAAAACUUUCAACAACGGAUCUCUUGGUUCUGGCAUCGAUGAAGAACGCAGC
RNAcentral lists this unclassified non-coding RNA (231 nucleotides) under uncultured fungus. RNAcentral describes it as "sequence contains ITS1, 5.8S rRNA gene". The stretch from base 183 to 231 matches the Rfam family "5.8S ribosomal RNA", at positions 1 to 49 of the family's 154-position model. Lineage: Eukaryota; Fungi. The record is from RNAcentral.